This 403-nucleotide ribosomal RNA is filed under the name Fusobacteriota bacterium. RNAcentral describes it as "Fusobacteria bacterium partial 16S ribosomal RNA". It matches the Rfam family "Bacterial small subunit ribosomal RNA", at positions 355 to 776 of the family's 1533-position model. Lineage: Bacteria; Fusobacteriati; Fusobacteriota. The record is from RNAcentral.
UGGGGAAUAUUGCACAAUGGGGGAAACCCUGAUGCAGCGACGCCGCGUGAGCGAAGAAGGUUUUCGAAUCGUAAAGCUCUGUCCUAUGGGAAGAUAAUGACGGUACCAUAGGAGGAAGCCCCGGCUAACUACGUGCCAGCAGCCGCGGUAAUACGUAGGGGGCAAGCGUUGUCCGGAAUCACUGGGCGUAAAGGGUUCGCAGGCGGAAAUGCAAGUUAGUUGUGAAAGGCAGAGGCUCAACCUCUGUAAGCAAUUGAAACUGUAUUUCUUGAGAUGUGGAGAGGCAAGUGGAAUUCCUAGUGUAGCGGUGAAAUGCGUAGAUAUUAGGAAGAAUACCGGUGGCGAAGGCGACUUGCUGGACACAAACUGACGCUGAGGAACGAAAGCGUGGGUAGCAAACAGG